RNAcentral lists this unclassified non-coding RNA (303 nucleotides) under Hevea brasiliensis (rubber tree). The record is from RNAcentral. Lineage: Eukaryota; Viridiplantae; Streptophyta; Magnoliopsida; Malpighiales; Euphorbiaceae.
GUUUGAAAUGAUAUCCCCCACCCCUAAUUGUGUAAGUAAAGAUAACAAUAAUAAGUUAAUCAAACACAUUACAAAAUUUCAGGGUAAAGGAUGAUACUUGGUAGCUUUUUGAAGUACAGAAUGCGAAUGCCAUGUCUCUAAUACAAUGUACAAGAUUUGGAGUAGCUUGUUUUACCCGCUUUCGUUGAGUUGAUAAUAAGUUGACAUUUGGAUUAACUCAAGAGACUUGUGGCCUUGUGAGUUGGUCUGUGAUGCAUCAGAAGCUGAAAGAUACCGUCGUCAGUUACCACAACGUAAUCGUAU